This 27-nucleotide ribosomal RNA is filed under the name Coprosma elatirioides. Its description in RNAcentral is "partial 26S ribosomal RNA". RNAcentral also lists the same sequence under 2 other names. The record is from RNAcentral. Lineage: Eukaryota; Viridiplantae; Streptophyta; Magnoliopsida; Gentianales; Rubiaceae.
CGAGAGCUUUGAAAAGGGCCUUCGAAC